GUCUAUGGCCAUACCACCCUGAACGUGCCCAAUCUCAUCUUAUCUCUAGAAGCUAAGCAGGUUCAGGCCUGGUUAGUACUUGGAUGGGAGACUGCCUGGGAAUAACGGGUGCUGUUGGCU
Molecule: ribosomal RNA, 120 nt
Filed under: Aotus nancymaae (Ma's night monkey)
Lineage: Eukaryota; Metazoa; Chordata; Mammalia; Primates; Aotidae
Source: RNAcentral